AGUUAUGACCGAAUCACGCCAAAUGACUCCAAUCUCAUCAGAUCCCUGGAAGCUAAGCAGGAUUGAGCGCGGUUAGUUCUUGGAUGGGAGACUGCCAGCGAAGGCUGGGAGGUAUUGUGG
RNAcentral lists this ribosomal RNA (120 nucleotides) under Petromyzon marinus (sea lamprey). Lineage: Eukaryota; Metazoa; Chordata; Hyperoartia; Petromyzontiformes; Petromyzontidae. The record is from RNAcentral.